GACGAACGCUGGCGGCGUGCCUAAUACAUGCAAGUAGAACGCACAGUUUAUACCGUAGCUUGCUACACCAUAGACUGUGAGUUGCGAACGGGUGAGUAACGCGUAGGUAACCUGCCUGGUAGCGGGGGAUAACUAUUGGAAACGAUAGCUAAUACCGCAUAAUAUUAAUUAUUGCAUGAUAAUUAAUUGAAAGGUGCAAUUGCACCACUACCAGAUGGACCUGCGUUGUAUUAGCUAGUAGGUGAGGUAACGGCUCACCUAGGCGACGAUACAUAGCCGACCUGAGAGGGUGAUCGGCCACACUGGGACUGAGACACGGCCCAGACUCCUACGGGAGGCAGCAGUAGGGAAUCUUCGGCAAUGGACGAAAGUCUGACCGAGCAACGCCGCGUGAGUGAAGAAGGUUGUCGGAUCGUAAAGCUCUGUUGUAAGAGAAGAACGGGUGUGAGAGUGGAAAGUUCACACUGCGACGGUAUCUUACCAGAAAGGGACGGCUAACUACGUG
RNAcentral lists this ribosomal RNA (505 nucleotides) under uncultured bacterium. RNAcentral describes it as "partial 16S ribosomal RNA". It matches the Rfam family "Bacterial small subunit ribosomal RNA", at positions 28 to 507 of the family's 1533-position model. The record is from RNAcentral.